UGGGGAAUAUUGCACAAUGGGCGAAAGCCUGAUGCAGCGACGCCGCGUGAGGGAUGACGGCCUUCGGGUUGUAAACCUCUUUCAGCAGGGACGAAGCGCAAGUGACGGUACCUGCAGAAGAAGCACCGGCUAACUACGUGCCAGCAGCCGCGGUAAUACGUAGGGUGCAAGCGUUGUCCGGAAUUACUGGGCGUAAAGAGUUCGUAGGCGGUUUGUCGCGUCGUUUGUGAAAACCAGCAGCUCAACUGCUGGCUUGCAGGCGAUACGGGCAGACUCGAGUACUGCAGGGGAGACUGGAAUUCCUGGUGUAGCGGUGAAAUGCGCAGAUAUCAGGAGGAACACCGGUGGCGAAGGCGGGUCUCUGGGCAGUAACUGACGCUGAGGAACGAAAGCGUGGGUAGCGAACAGG
This 409-nucleotide ribosomal RNA is filed under the name bacterium. RNAcentral describes it as "partial 16S ribosomal RNA". It matches the Rfam family "Bacterial small subunit ribosomal RNA", at positions 355 to 776 of the family's 1533-position model. RNAcentral also lists the same sequence under 1 other name. The record is from RNAcentral.